This 676-nucleotide long non-coding RNA is filed under the name Setaria viridis. RNAcentral describes it as "long non-coding RNA (SVIR_LNC009682)". Lineage: Eukaryota; Viridiplantae; Streptophyta; Magnoliopsida; Poales; Poaceae. The record is from RNAcentral.
CAGAAAGAGGGAUUUUGGGAGAAAAAUAUGGACAAGGGAGACUACUUCAUUCAUAUUGAUGAUGAGGAUGGAAGGAAGCUACUUCAUUCAUAUUGAUAAGGAUUGAUGAGAUCAUGACCAUAUGACGUGCAAGAAGAAGAAAUAUGAGAUGUUGACCGAUGUAAGGAGAACAAUAAUAAUUUAUUUUACCCGUUUCUCUAUUGGCAUGGUGGCAACUUCAUUAAAUGUUUAGUGGCAAACUAAGUGUGCAUUGCAUACCAACUUAAUUGGAUAGAGGGUAAGAACUCAGUUUACUACGACUUGGAUGAUGUUAUAACAACUUCAGUAAAAAACAGUCAUAGCAACUUAUGUAGAUAUAUAUAAAAACUCACUAGAAACUUAACAUUCCAACAUAUGGAUGUACCUCACAUCUGGUAAGUGUAGCAAGUCCAAAUCCCUCAUCUCAUAUGUUUCCCUCCACCUCCUCCGCUGGCUGGCCUCAUAAGCCUCAUGGCCAGUGUGCAAUGAUCUGACGAUGACGGAAUGUGUUUUACAAUAGUUCCAAUGUUUAAGUAAUUUUAGUUUCUUGACUCGCAGCAACAAUAAUUCAGAGUGUGUAACAUUUUAAAUCCUAUAAGUAAUUUGCUAUAUAGUGGCUUUAGCGAGUGUUUAUAGCAAUUUUAGGUAGUGUUUUUUA